Molecule: ribosomal RNA, 771 nt
Filed under: Triticum aestivum (bread wheat)
Lineage: Eukaryota; Viridiplantae; Streptophyta; Magnoliopsida; Poales; Poaceae
Description: partial small subunit ribosomal RNA
Source: RNAcentral
AUGGUGAGGGCUCCUUGCUGCGAGAAGAUGGGGCUCAAGAGGGGCCCGUGGACGGCGGAGGAGGACAUGACCCUGGUCGCUCACAUCGAGCAGCACGGGCACAGCAACUGGCGGGCGCUGCCGAAGCAGGCCGGCCUGCUGCGCUGCGGCAAGAGCUGCCGCCUCCGGUGGAUUAACUACCUGCGCCCCGACAUCAAGCGCGGCAACUUCACCAGCGACGAGGAAGAAGCCAUCAUCCAACUCCACGCCAUGCUCGGCAACAGAUGGUCCACCAUUGCGGCCAGGCUGCCUGGCAGGACGGACAACGAGAUCAAGAACGUCUGGCACACACACCUCAAGAAGCGAUUCGAAUCCUCGUCCAAGCCGUCCGGCCAGGCAGCGCCUAAGCGCAAAGCCAAGAAGCCUGCUGUGGCUGCGACUGCGAGCGCGCUAGAGGGACCGACCUCCGAGCCGGCGGCGUCGUCACCGGGGCAGUCCCUCUCCAUGUCGCCGGGGCAGUCCCUCUCGACGUCGUCCGCCGCUGACUACUCGAUGGCCUCGUCGUUGGAGAACACGGGCAGCUCUUCCUCGGAGUCGGAGGAGUUCCAGAUUGAUGACAGCUUCUGGUCGGAGACACUGGCGAUGUCGGUGCACAGCUCCGGUUCCGGGAUGGAAACCAGCGACACCUUCGGCGUAGAUAGUGCAUCGCCGUCGUCGAGCAACGAUGAGAUGGACUUCUGGGUCACACUGUUCAUGCAGGCUGGUGACAUACAGAGUUUGUCGCAGAUUUAG